UUCGCCCUUAGAGUUUGAUCCUGGCUCAGGAUGAACGCUAGCUACAGGCUUAACACAUGCAAGUCGAGGGGAAACGACAUCGAAAGCUUGCUUUUGAUGGGCGUCGACCGGCGCACGGGUGAGUAACGCGUAUCCAACCUGCCCACCACUUGGGGAUAACCUUGCGAAAGUAAGACUAAUACCCAAUGACGUCUCUAGAAGACAUCUGAAAGAGAUUAAAGAUUUAUCGGUGAUGGAUGGGGAUGCGUCUGAUUAGCUUGUUGGCGGGGUAACGGCCCACCAAGGCGACGAUCAGUAGGGGUUCUGAGAGGAAGGUCCCCCACAUUGGAACUGAGACACGGUCCAAACUCCUACGGGAGGCAGCAGUGAGGAAUAUUGGUCAAUGGACGAGAGUCUGAACCAGCCAAGUAGCGUGCAGGAUGACGGCCCUAUGGGUUGUAAACUGCUUUUAUAAGGGAAUAAAGUGAGUCUCGUGAGACUUUUUGCAUGUACCUUAUGAAUAAGGACCGGCUAAUUCCGUGCCAGCAGCCGCGGUAAUACGGAAGGUCCGGGCGUUAUCCGGAUUUAUUGGGUUUAAAGGGAGCGUAGGCCGGAGAUUAAGCGUGUUGUGAAAUGUAGACGCUCAACGUCUGCACUGCAGCGCGAACUGGUUUCCUUGAGUACGCACAAAGUGGGCGGAAUUCGUGGUGUAGCGGUGAAAUGCUUAGAUAUCACGAAGAACUCCGAUUGCGAAGGCAGCUCACUGGAGCGCAACUGACGCUGAAGCUCGAAAGUGCGGGUAUCGAACAGGAUUAGAUACCCUGGUAGUCCGCACGGUAAACGAUGGAUGCCCGCUGUUGGUCUGAAUAGGUCAGCGGCCAAGCGAAAGCAUUAAGCAUCCCACCUGGGGAGUACGCCGGCAACGGUGAAAC
Molecule: ribosomal RNA, 911 nt
Filed under: uncultured bacterium
Lineage: Bacteria
Description: bacterial SSU rRNA
Rfam family: Bacterial small subunit ribosomal RNA
Source: RNAcentral